GCUUAACACAUGCAAGUCGAACGCGAACGUUUUCUUCGGAAAACUAGUAGAGUGGCGCACGGGUGAGUAACGCGUAAGUAAUCUACCCUCGCAUCUGGGAUAACCCACCGAAAGGUGUGCUAAUACCUGAUACGUCUGGAAUUAUACAUUGAAUUCAGAGAAAGGUGGCCUCUUCAUGAAAGCUACUGUGCGGGGAGGAGCUUGCGUACCAUUAGCUAGUUGGUAGGGUAAGGGCCUACCAAGGCGAUGAUGGUUAGCGGGUCUGAGAGGAUGAUCCGCCACACUGGAACUGGAACACGGACCAGACUCCUACGGGAGGCAGCAGUGAGGAAUAUUGCGCAAUGGGGGCAACCCUGACGCAGCGACGCCGCGUGGAUGAUGAAGGCCUUCGGGUUGUAAAAUCCUGUCAGAUGGGAAGAAGUGGUACAUAUCCAAUACAUAUGUACUUUGACGGUACCAUCAAAGGAAGCACCGGCUAACUCCGUGCCAGCAGCCGCGGUAAUACGGAGGGUGCAAGCGUUGUUCGGAAUUACUGGGCGUAAAGCGCGCGUAGGCGGCUAUAUAAGUCAGAUGUGAAAGCCCGCGGCUCAACCGUGGAAGUGCAUUUGAAACUGUGUAGCUUGAGUACUGGAGGGGGUAGUGGAAUUCCCGGUGUAGAGGUGAAAUUCGUAGAUAUCGGGAGGAAUACCGGUGGCGAAGGCGACUACCUG
Molecule: ribosomal RNA, 710 nt
Filed under: uncultured bacterium
Lineage: Bacteria
Description: bacterial SSU rRNA
Rfam family: Bacterial small subunit ribosomal RNA
Source: RNAcentral